Molecule: ribosomal RNA, 497 nt
Filed under: uncultured bacterium
Lineage: Bacteria
Description: partial 16S ribosomal RNA
Rfam family: Bacterial small subunit ribosomal RNA
Source: RNAcentral
GAUGAACGCUGGCGGCGUGCCUAAUACAUGCAAGUCGAGCGAACAGACGAGGAGCUUGCUCCUCUGACGUUAGCGGCGGACGGGUGAGUAACACGUGGAUAACCUACCUAUAAGACUGGGAUAACGUCGGGAAACCGGAGCUAAUACCGGAUAAUAUAUUGAACCGCAUGGUUCAAUAGUGAAAGACGGUUUUGCUGUCACUUAUAGAUGGAUCCGCGCCGCAUUAGCUAGUUGGUAAGGUAACGGCUUACCAAGGCGACGAUGCGUAGCCGACCUGAGAGGGUGAUCGGCCACACUGGAACUGAGACACGGUCCAGACUCCUACGGGAGGCAGCAGUAGGGAAUCUUCCGCAAUGGGCGAAAGCCUGACGGAGCAACGCCGCGUGAGUGAUGAAGGUCUUCGGAUCGUAAAGCUCUGUUAUUAGGGAAGAACAAAUGUGUAAGUAACUAUGCACGUCUUGACGGUACCUAAUCAGAAAGCCACGGCUAACUACGUG